Helianthus annuus (common sunflower) is the source of this 2646-nucleotide RNA transcript. RefSeq lists it as uncharacterized. Lineage: Eukaryota; Viridiplantae; Streptophyta; Magnoliopsida; Asterales; Asteraceae. The transcript has 7 exons. The record is from RefSeq and is a predicted model, not a curated record.
AUCCGUUUAAUCCAUUCACUCUUACUUGUAUUUUCAUCCACGUACCAUUACUUUUGCACAGUAUAUUCAAUGUUAUCAUAUCUGUCUCUUUUAACUCCUCUUUUGCCAUGCCCACCACUGCCGUAACAACUUGCUUUUAGAGGGAUAGAGACUCUGUGGGAGAGUGGCUGAAGCCAUGUAUUUUUUUUCAUGCUCUGUUUUUGCUCUGACCGAAUUGAUGAAACAAGACCCAGUACCAGCGUUCCUCAUUCUCGGUUGAGUCGACUUCUGACUCUAACGAAAAAACUUUCUAGAAUAUAAGUACUUGUUUGCCGAUUAGAAUCUUAUGGCGUCACUUCUAGGUACUGGAAUGAUGAAGAUGUUUUAAUGAAAGUGGGUGAAGCCAUGGGUCUGGCAGUCUCUGAAGAUGCUACUGCUUCUACUGGGCAUCCAGUUGCAGAUGGCCGAAAGAUUAAAGAAUCAUAUAUCAGUUAGCAAAUGUUCAAGCUGAGAGUCAGUUAGCCAUUACUUACUAGCCGACUAUCUGGAGUCAUGAUUAUAUCCGGGUGUUAGAUGAUAAUUUUCCGAUGAAGUUUGAUGAGAAGGUCUGGGAGCUAGAGAAGAAGACGAUAAUGUUGUUGAAUGUUGAUUUUGAAAAUGGUAGUUUCACUAUGUUGGAGUUGCUUGAACAGAGAGAUGAUAUUGAAAGGUUGGGUCUUGGCUAUCGGUUCCAAAACGAUAUAAGGAGAGCACUGGACAUAAUCAUGUCAAUACAUGGAACUAAUAUCGGGCUUGAAGAAAAGAAAGAUAGUCUUCAUGAUACUUCUUUUAUGUGAACAUGGCUGGAUGUAAAUUGUAAAUGCUUUCUCUGUACCAACAAUUUGUAUUGAUGAUCUUAAAGAGGGCAUUUUGGAAACUAUUCAUGUUAAGAUUUUCUUUUUUUAAAUUCAUGAUGAAAGAAGCUGACAUCAUACUGGAAAAAGGUUAUUAUUUUCUUAAUGCAGUUAGUGUAAGUGAAAUUGAGGCACUUUAUGAGUUAUUUAAGAAGAUAAGCAGUGUAGUCAUUGAUGAUGGGCUAAUUAAUAAUGCAUAUAGUUCUGCCUCCAGAAGUUGCAAAGCUUCUUCCGAAGAAUCGUCUUUUAGCCGAGGUAUAUGUUGUUGAUUUUGAUGACUUAUUAGGUUUUUUUAAUCGUUUGAGUUGAUUGAUUAUUAUGUUUUUGAAGUGUAUAUGUUCAGAUUAACAUCAUCAUGAUCAGUUGAUUGAUUAUUAUGUUUUUGAAGUGUAUAUGUUCAAGAAAGUGUAUAAGUAUAAAAGUUUUCGGAUCUCGACUAUGAUGAUAACUGGAUCACCAGGCAUGUAUACUUUCUUAUCCGCCUCUAACUUCAACAACGGCUGCACACCUACCAGGUGUUCGACAAAAUGCCUGAAAGAAAGAUGUUUACUUUUUUUUCUUAGUCUAUUAACUGCAGCAAGCAUGGAUGUCUUUGACUACAACAAAUGAGCCGUGCUUGAGCCUAUAACAAUUUAUUACAAUUUAUUAUCUAACGAGCCGAGCUUGAGCCUAUAACAAAGCUCGAUUAUUUUUUGAGCUCGAGCCUGACAUGUGAAGCUCGUCAGGCUCUUCGAGCCUUAUUGAGCCUAAUGUAAUAUUAAUUUUAUUAAUAUUUAAUAACAUUUACCCCAUAUAUAAAUUUUUUUAGUAAACGAGUGAAGCCGAGCUUUUUUAAGCUUCUUUACGAGCCGAGCCCGAACCUAAAAAUAAGCUUGUUUGAUAAACAAGCCCAAGCCCGAGCUUCACUUAUAGGUAAAAGUAAAAUAAUUAGCGCGAAAAGUUUGUGGAUUUACUUAAAACUUAAGUUUUAAUUUUAAAUAACAGAAUACAUAGUUAAUUACUGUUUACCUGCAAUAUUUGAUUAGACCAGACCAUAAUACAUCUUGAAUUCAUAUGAAUUUGGUGCUGCAGGUUUAAAAUGGGGAGAACAAGCAACAUAUGGCAACCCCUUCAGUAAAAAGAAGAUGCCAUGAUCAAAGUCCAAAAAGCCCAGCAUCACUAAUGAAUGAGAUCAAAUUUUGUAACUGGAUCAGGUGUCAACAUCAUAUGAUGCACUGUUAGAUAUUGCCGGUGGGAAAGUUAAUAUUGAUGUAUUAAUGGCUCUUACUGCAUUUGCAUCUGCAUUUAUGGGGAAUCCACUAGAAGGAGGCUUGCUUCUAGCAUUGUUGAAUUUGGCUCGCGUCGCUGAAGAGUAUUUCACCAGUCGGUCAAAAGUUGAUGUCAAGGAGUUGAAAGAGAACUAUCCAGAGUUCGCCUUCGUACUUGAAGUUAACAACCAAAAGUUAUUAACCUGUAAAAAGUUGUUGAUGAAACUGCGGGCAAAGGUUAUAGCGGCAUUUCAUCUAAAGGACAGUCUCUGUAAUAGUUGAAUACGAAGCCGCGGACAAAGGCUAUAGCGGCCUUUCACCUAAAGGCCGGUCUCUAUAACUUAUUGAAUACUCUUGCAUGUUAUUGAGCUUUAGAUUAUGCUUUGUUGUUUAGUUGUUGUUGUAGAAGCUGAUACUAGAUGUAAUUAUGCAUCUCUUAUUUAAGUAGAUGUAAUGUAUGCAUCUCUUUUUCAAGUAGAUGUAAUUUGGCGAAACAGAGAUUAAAUAUCUGUUUUAGAUACCGCAAA